AAAUGUUAAAUAGAUAAGCUAUGUUUGAUUUCGGCUCAAAAAGAUUAACAUUUUU
This 55-nucleotide transfer RNA is filed under the name Mecistocirrus digitatus. Its description in RNAcentral is "tRNA-Arg". Lineage: Eukaryota; Metazoa; Nematoda; Chromadorea; Rhabditida; Trichostrongylidae. The record is from RNAcentral.